Long non-coding RNA from Dipodomys spectabilis (banner-tailed kangaroo rat), 106 nucleotides. RefSeq lists it as uncharacterized. The record is from RefSeq and is a predicted model, not a curated record. The transcript is spliced from 3 exons. Lineage: Eukaryota; Metazoa; Chordata; Mammalia; Rodentia; Heteromyidae.
UGACCUUGGCCUUGGAAGUGAAGAAAGACUUGGGGAAGAGUUGGAUGGGGAGGUGGGAGGAUAGCAGGGGGGAUCCUCCUUCCUGUCUUUUAUGGUUUGGAAUCCA